Molecule: Y RNA, 113 nt
Filed under: Prolemur simus (greater bamboo lemur)
Lineage: Eukaryota; Metazoa; Chordata; Mammalia; Primates; Lemuridae
Description: Y RNA (ENSPSMG00000002334.1)
Rfam family: Y RNA
About the family: Y RNAs are components of the Ro ribonucleoprotein particle (Ro RNP), in association with Ro60 and La proteins. The Y RNAs and Ro60 and La proteins are well conserved, but the function of the Ro RNP is not known.
Source: Rfam by way of RNAcentral
GGCUGGUCUGAAGGUAGUGAGUUAUCUCACUUGAUCGUUCUCAGUCAGUUACAGAUUGAACUCCUUGUUCUACAACUUUUCCCCUUCUCACUACUGUACUUGACUAGUCUUUA